UGCUCUUUGGAUUAGUGGGAACGGGUGAGGAACACGUGAGCAAUCUGCCCUUGACUCUGGGAUAAGCGUUGGAAACGACGUCUAAUACCGGAUACGACCCUCGGAGGCAUCUCCUGGGGGUGGAAAGAAUUUUGGUCAAGGAUGAGCUCGCGGCCUAUCAGCUUGUUGGUGAGGUAAUGGCUCACCAAGGCGACGACGGGUAGCCGGCCUGAGAGGGUGACCGGCCACACUGGGACUGAGACACGGCCCAGACUCCUACGGGAGGCAGCAGUGGGGAAUAUUGCACAAUGGGCGAAAGCCUGAUGCAGCAACGCCGCGUGAGGGACGACGGCCUUCGGGUUGUAAACCUCUUUUAGUAGGGAAGAAGCGAAAGUGACGGUACCUGCAGAAAAAGCACCGGCUAACUACGUGCCAGCAGCCGCGGUAAUACGUAGGGUGCAAGCGUUGUCCGGAAUUAUUGGGCGUAAAGAGCUCGUAGGCGGUUUGUCGCGUCUGCUGUGAAAACCCGAGGCUCAACCUCGGGCCUGCAGUGGGUACGGGCAGACUAGAGUGCGGUAGGGGAGAUUGGAAUUCCUGGUGUAGCGGUGGAAUGCGCAGAUAUCAGGAGGAACACCGAUGGCGAAGGCAGAUCUCUGGGCCGUAACUGACGCUGAGGAGCGAAAGCAUGGGGAGCGAACAGGAUUAGAUACCCUGGUAGUCCAUGCCGUAAACGUUGGGAACUAGAUGUGGGGACCAUUCCACGGUCUCCGUGUCGCAGCUAACGCAUUAAGUUCCCCGCCUGGGGAGUACGGCCGCAAGGCUAAAACUCAAAGGAAUUGACGGGGGCCCGCACAAGCGGCGGAGCAUGCGGAUUAAUUCGAUGCAACGCGAAGAACCUUACCAAGACUUGACAUAUACGAGAACGGGCCAGAAAUGGUCAACUCUUUGGACACUCGUAAACAGGUGGUGCAUGGUUGUCGUCAGCUCGUGUCGUGAGAUGUUGGGUUAAGUCCCGCAACGAGCGCAACCCUCGUCCUAUGUUGCCAGCACGUAAUGGUGGGAACUCAUGGGAUACUGCCGGGGUCAACUCGGAGGAAGGUGGGGAUGACGUCAAAUCAUCAUGCCCCUUAUGUCUUGGGCUUCACGCAUGCUACAAUGGCCGGUACAAAGGGCUGCAAUACCGUAAGGUGGAGCGAAUCCCAAAAAGCCGGUCUCAGUUCGGAUUGAGGUCUGCAACUCGACCUCAUGAAGUCGGAGUCGCUAGUAAUCGCAGAUCAGCAACGCUGCGGUGAAUACGUUCCCGGGCCUUGUACACACCGCCCGUCAAGUCAUGAAAGUCGGUAACACCCGAAGCCAGUGGCCUAACCCGCAAGGGGAGG
RNAcentral lists this ribosomal RNA (1358 nucleotides) under bacterium TSBY-89. RNAcentral's name for it is "16S ribosomal RNA". It matches the Rfam family "Bacterial small subunit ribosomal RNA", at positions 81 to 1450 of the family's 1533-position model. The record is from RNAcentral.